AAUGGGCGAAAGCCUGAUGCAGCAACGCCGCGUGAGCGAUGAAGGCCUUCGGGUCGUAAAGCUCUGUCCUCAAGGAAGAUAAUGACGGUACUUGAGGAGGAAGCCCCGGUUAACUACGUGCCAGCAGCCGCGGUAAUACGUAGGGGGCUAGCGUUAUCCGGAAUUACUGGGCGUAAAGGGUGCGUAGGUGGUUUCUUAAGUCAGAGGUGAAAGGCUACGGCUCAACCGUAGUAAGCCUUUGAAACUGGGAAACUUGAGUGCAGGAGAGGAGAGUGGAAUUCCUAGUGUAGCGGUGAAAUGCGUAGAUAUUAGGAGGAACACCGAUGGCGAAGGCAGCCCCCUGGGCCAAUACUGACGCUCAUGCACGAAAGCGUGGGGAGCAAA
RNAcentral lists this ribosomal RNA (384 nucleotides) under uncultured bacterium. RNAcentral's name for it is "bacterial SSU rRNA". It matches the Rfam family "Bacterial small subunit ribosomal RNA", at positions 370 to 772 of the family's 1533-position model. The record is from RNAcentral.